UACGUAGGCAGCGAGCGUUGUUCGGAGUUACUGGGCGUAAAGAGUGCGUAGGCGGUUUUCUAAGUUUGGUGUGAAAUCUCCCGGCUUAACUGGGAGGGUGCGCCGAAAACUGGAAAGCUGGAGUGUGGGAGAGGUAAGCGGAAUUCCUGGUGUAGCGGUGAAAUGCGUAGAUAUCAAGAGGAACACCUGAGGUGAAGACGGGUUGCUGGGCUGACACUGACGCUGAGGCGCGAAAGCUAGGGUAGCAAACGGG
Molecule: ribosomal RNA, 253 nt
Filed under: uncultured bacterium
Lineage: Bacteria
Description: partial 16S ribosomal RNA
Rfam family: Bacterial small subunit ribosomal RNA
Source: RNAcentral